This 200-nucleotide unclassified non-coding RNA is filed under the name soil metagenome. RNAcentral describes it as "partial contains internal transcribed spacer 2 and large subunit ribosomal RNA". The record is from RNAcentral.
GGACUUGGAUGUUGCCGUGUUCAACGGCUCGUCUUAAAUGCCUGAGUGUACCCUGUUUUGCAGCGUAUCAAUGUGAUAAACAUCUUCAUUGUUAAGUCUUUCGGGACACGCUUGUGUUGCAGGCUCUAUGCUUCCAAUCGUCUUUGGACAAUCUCUGACAAUUUGACCUCAAAUCGGGUGGGACUACCCGCUGAACUUAA